This 698-nucleotide long non-coding RNA is filed under the name Rattus norvegicus (Norway rat). Its description in RNAcentral is "long non-coding RNA NONRATT014408". Lineage: Eukaryota; Metazoa; Chordata; Mammalia; Rodentia; Muridae. The record is from RNAcentral.
ACAGCUGCCGAGAGUUGAGGACUGUGUCCUCGUCAUGCCGUGCUGGGUCAGCAUUCCAUCAUACAGUGUGUCUGGCCUGGCACUGCCUAUGGCCCCUCCCCUCGCAGUCCUCUCCUUCAGGCCUCUUUCUCCAGGAGGACAGACAGGGUGCUGGGCUCCACCCUCUCUGGCCCUUACUGGACUAAGGGUCUGACUCUGCCCAUCAUCCAUGGCUGCUGCUCACUCCCCUCCCCCUACCUCGUCACCCAGUUUGUUCUUCAGCUGUCAUUCAUAGUGUUCCUUCCUUCUCUCGUCUUCUGCUGUGCAGCUCCCUCCUACACCUCCCUCUCUGUGACCUGUGGGCCCCCUUCCACCCCAGGGAGCAGGAUCCUGGGAUGAGGAAGUGCAGGAGGACCCACAGCAGGAAAGGGAGCCACACUCGGGCUCAUUCCCUCUUCUGUGUGACUCCUUGGAGGUGGAGCUCUGCACUCCUCACGUGCCCUGUGGUGUAGCCCUAUGUCCUGCUGUGCUUUGAGCCAGCCCAUCUUCCUUCCUCCCGGGUCUUGGAGGUGUGGCUGCUGAGCCUGCUCUCCUCCUCCAUGUACAUGUGUAGCUCAUCCUGGACAUUCCGUCUGAGCCGCUGCUUUCCCUGCCGUCCCCUUUGUGAGCCUCCCUUUCCGAGCCUAGGUCCACAGUCUAAACUUCAUGGAGCUGCUGCA